ACAACACAGGAGCUGCAGUGCACAAGGCAACAGCAUCCUUCAAGGUUCGCUUCUCUUACUGCCUGCCCUAGCUUAAAGGAAGAAGAAGCUCCAAGCAGCUGUGGAGAAGAAACAGGAUUACCAUCCAGUGAGGUUUGGAUAGAUUUCUCUAUUGAAAAUCAUGGGCCAGAUACAUUCUCAGCAACAAAGGAAGAUACAACCACAGAGAUUUUUCAAACUCAGCUGCUCAGUCAGAGUCCUAGUCAUGUCCAACAGGUUCAGCUUUCUUCAUCUAGAAUGCAUAAUUUCUGUCAAAUUUUAGAUACAGGAUCAAGCCAUUCUCUACUCAGUCCUCAAAAGAACACCAGCCAGGGUAAGCCUGCUUUGUAAAGCAGUCACAAUAUUUGACUCUUCUAGAAGUGUGGAAUUAUGGUGGAUUCUGUUGUUGUUCACUAAUUCUUUUACAUACUGCUCCUGGUGUUACAGCCCUGUGAUCAGAAUCUGAAUGAGUUACUUGAAGGGAAUUUCACGGUUGCCAGCAGAAGUAAGAAUUAAGAGAAAUGUCCAUAUAGCUGUCUGGUUUAAAUGCCUUCAUUGCAAAUACUUCUUCACUGUUUUUAAGUACUCCUGUAGAAUGCAAAUUCUGUUUUGACAUAGUCUAAAACUUAGCUGGGGCAGAUAAAAAUGUGUCUGAGAACUGUACACUCAUAUUCAUAUGCAAUUAAUCACAUACAGACUGCAGGAACAAGAAUGCAAUCACUGGAUUAAGGGAAGUGAUUUGUUCCCCUAAAUUUGACAUUUGUGAGGCCACUGUGUCCACCUUUGGACCCUCUUGUACAAAAGUGUGGCAAACUGGAGUCCAGUGGAGAGCCACUAAAUGGCUGGGGCAUGGGAACACAUUACACAAGAAGAGGUUUAGAGAACUGGGUUGUUCAGUGUAGAAAAGAGUAGGUGCGUGGUCUGAUUGGUGCUUUUUAACUCUCUGGUGAGGGAUUUUGGAGAAGACAGAACCAGACUCUUAGAGAUGCACAGUGAAAAGUGGCAAAUGGACACAAGCUGUGUCAAGAUACAUUCUGAGUAGGGAGUGAUAAGCACUGUGACAUUUCACCCACACGUCCCAUCCAGCCUAUGUUACAUCUAUUUUUAAACCAGUGUAUGAAGGCAAUGAACCAUCUUUAGUAGCUCACCAGAAAAAAUAAUACUUAAAAGGGCUUUCAAAAUGAAGAGUGGAUUAUAAGUGUAUUUAUUCACAACAGCAGUGCAUUGCAGGGACAAAGUAAUGUGCAUUGACAGACCUGUAGGACUGGAAUGGACAUAGUGCUGAGAUUCAUGAUUCUCGUGCUUUUUUUGUGAGGCUAGGACUGAAAUAGGAAGAGCAUUUCAGGCCAGG
RNAcentral lists this long non-coding RNA (1369 nucleotides) under Junco hyemalis (dark-eyed junco). RNAcentral describes it as "lncRNA (ENSJHYG00000008260.1)". Lineage: Eukaryota; Metazoa; Chordata; Aves; Passeriformes; Passerellidae. The record is from RNAcentral.